This 303-nucleotide ribosomal RNA is filed under the name uncultured bacterium. RNAcentral describes it as "partial 16S ribosomal RNA". It matches the Rfam family "Bacterial small subunit ribosomal RNA", at positions 510 to 808 of the family's 1533-position model. The record is from RNAcentral.
AGCAGUCGCCCGGUAAUACGGAGGAUCCAAGCGUUAUCCGGAAUCAUUGGGUUUAAAGGGUCCGUAGGCGGUCUUGUAAGUCAGUGGUGAAAGCCCAUCGCUCAACGGUGGAACGGCCAUUGAUACUGCAGGACUUGAAUUAUUGGGAAGUAACUAGAAUAUGUAGUGUAGCGGUGAAAUGCUUAGAGAUUACAUGGAAUACCAAUUGCGAAGGCAGGUUACUACCAAUUGAUUGACGCUGAUGGACGAAAGCGUGGGUAGCGAACAGGAUUAGAUACCCCAGUAGUCCCUGUCUCUUAUACA